UUAAAUUGAAGAGUUUGAUCAUGGCUCAGAUUGAACGCUGGCGGCAGGCCUAACACAUGCAAGUCGGACGGUAGCACAGAGAGCUUGCUCUCGGGUGACGAGUGGCGGACGGGUGAGUAAUGUCUGGGGAUCUGCCCGAUAGAGGGGGAUAACCACUGGAAACGGUGGC
Molecule: ribosomal RNA, 169 nt
Filed under: Pantoea ananatis BRT175
Lineage: Bacteria; Pseudomonadati; Pseudomonadota; Gammaproteobacteria; Enterobacterales; Erwiniaceae
Description: partial 16S ribosomal RNA
Rfam family: Bacterial small subunit ribosomal RNA
Source: RNAcentral